RNAcentral lists this long non-coding RNA (228 nucleotides) under Phaseolus vulgaris (common bean). RNAcentral describes it as "long non-coding RNA (PVUL_LNC000717)". The record is from RNAcentral. Lineage: Eukaryota; Viridiplantae; Streptophyta; Magnoliopsida; Fabales; Fabaceae.
AAGCAUGACGGAGGCAUUGAAGGGCAUGCAGUUGCUAAUUAGGGCUAUCAGAGAAGAGAAGAGAGUAAUCCAUAGUGGGUAUUUCAUCAUCACAGGCUGAGUAAAGAUCAGCAUGAUGAAGAUGUUCUAUCACUGCAAGCUCUGAGAAAUUAGCAUUGGAGAAAAUAGGUUCAGAAGACUGAAUUUGGGAUGCAAAGGAACUUAUUUCAGCCAUUAUAAUCAAAGAUU